CAAGUCGAGCGAAUCGAUGGGAGCUUGCUCCCUGAGAUUAGCGGCGGACGGGUGAGUAACACGUGGGCAACCUGCCUAUAAGACUGGGAUAACUUCGGGAAACCGGAGCUAAUACCGGAUACGUUCUUUUCUCGCAUGAGAGAAGAUGGAAAGACGGUUUACGCUGUCACUUAUAGAUGGGCCCGCGGCGCAUUAGCUAGUUGGUGAGGUAAUGGCUCACCAAGGCGACGAUGCGUAGCCGACCUGAGAGGGUGAUCGGCCACACUGGGACUGAGACACGGCCCAGACUCCUACGGGAGGCAGCAGUAGGGAAUCUUCCGCAAUGGACGAAAGUCUGACGGAGCAACGCCGCGUGAACGAAGAAGGCCUUCGGGUCGUAAAGUUCUGUUGUUAGGGAAGAACAAGUACCAGAGUAACUGCUGGUACCUUGACGGUACCUAACCAGAAAGCCACGGCUAACUACGUGCCAGCAGCCGCGGUAAUACGUAGGUGGCAAGCGUUGUCCGGAAUUAUUGGGCGUAAAGCGCGCGCAGGUGGUUCCUUAAGUCUGAUGUGAAAGCCCACGGCUCAACCCGUGGAGGGUCAUUGGAAACUGGGGAACUUGAGUGCAGAAGAGGAAAGUGGAAUUUCCAAGUGUAGCGGUGAAAUGCGUAGAGAUUUGGAGGAACACCAGUGGCGAAGGCGACUUUCUGGUCUGUAACUGACACUGAGGCGCGAAAGCGUGGGGAGCAAACAGGAUUAGAUACCCUGGUAGUCCACGCCGUAAACGAUGAGUGCUAAGUGUUAGAGGGUUUCCGCCCUUUAGUGCUGCAGCUAACGCAUUAAGCACUCCGCCUGGGGAGUACGGCCGCAAGGCUGAAACUCAAAGGAAUUGACGGGGGCCCGCACAAGCGGUGGAGCAUGUGGUUUAAUUCGAAGCAACGCGAAGAACCUUACCAGGUCUUGACAUCCUCUGACAACCCUAGAGAUAGGGCUUUCCCCUUCGGGGGACAGAGUGACAGGUGGUGCAUGGUUGUCGUCAGCUCGUGUCGUGAGAUGUUGGGUUAAGUCCCGCAACGAGCGCAACCCUUGAUCUUAGUUGCCAGCAUUCAGUUGGGCACUCUAAGGUGACUGCCGGUGACAAACCGGAGGAAGGUGGGGAUGACGUCAAAUCAUCAUGCCCCUUAUGACCUGGGCUACACACGUGCUACAAUGGAUGGUACAAAGGGCUGCAAACCUGCGAAGGUAAGCGAAUCCCAUAAAGCCAUUCUCAGUUCGGAUUGCAGGCUGCAACUCGCCUGCAUGAAGCCGGAAUCGCUAGUAAUCGCGGAUCAGUAUGCCGCGGUGAAUACGUUCCCGGGCCUUGUACACACCGCCCGUCACACCACGAGAGUUUGUAACACCCGAAGUCGGUGAGGUAACCUUCAUGGAGCCAGCCGCCUAAGGUGGGACAGAUGAUUGGGGG
This 1444-nucleotide ribosomal RNA is filed under the name Peribacillus simplex. RNAcentral describes it as "bacterial SSU rRNA". It matches the Rfam family "Bacterial small subunit ribosomal RNA". The record is from RNAcentral. Lineage: Bacteria; Bacillati; Bacillota; Bacilli; Caryophanales; Bacillaceae.